CUGCCCGGCCAUACCACCCUAAACGCGCCCGAUCUCGUCUGAUCUCUGAACCUAAGCAGGGUUGGGCCUGGUUAGUACUUGGAUGGGAGACCUCACAGUUCUUGAGCCUGCAUAUCGGAAGUCAGGGGCUAGCAAGG
Molecule: ribosomal RNA, 137 nt
Filed under: Peromyscus maniculatus bairdii (prairie deer mouse)
Lineage: Eukaryota; Metazoa; Chordata; Mammalia; Rodentia; Cricetidae
Source: RNAcentral